AACCAAGAAGACUAAGUCAUGCUUUUUCGGUGAAAAGACAGUUAGGCAGUUAAAAAGUUUGUUUAAUUAUUAUUAAGAAGUAAAAUUCGUAAAUGGUUUAGAAAUUUGUUCAAGGCUAAAAAGCUGAAGCUGUGAUACCCUUGAGGGAAACUGGGAUUAGAUACCCCAUUAUUCACGGAAGUAAAAUAAUAGAAAUUUACCAGAGUACUAUGGAUCAUUGACGUUUAAAACUCAAAGAGCUUGGCGGUGUUUUAGACUCUUUAGGGGAACCUGUCUCAUAAUCGACAAUCCACGCAAGACCUGACCUUUAUUUGCUUUCAGUUUGUAUACCGUCGUCGUCAGGUAACUUUUUAGAAAAAAGAAGUUAGCAAAAGAGUUUUUAAUAAACUCUCACGUCAGAUCAAGGUGCAGCCAACAUAAAGGGGAGGAUGGGUUACAAUUAUAAAAAUUAUAAUUACGGAGUAACAAUUUUAAAGAUAGUUAUGAAGGAGGACUUAAAAGUAAAAUACAAUACAUAAAUAUAUUGAAUUGAGCUCUGAAACGUGU
Molecule: ribosomal RNA, 546 nt
Filed under: Thaisella chocolata
Lineage: Eukaryota; Metazoa; Mollusca; Gastropoda; Neogastropoda; Muricidae
Description: partial 12S ribosomal RNA
Source: RNAcentral